UGGAAGUACUGCCUAAGUUUGA
Molecule: microRNA, 22 nt
Filed under: Nicotiana tabacum (common tobacco)
Lineage: Eukaryota; Viridiplantae; Streptophyta; Magnoliopsida; Solanales; Solanaceae
Description: nta-miR6163
Source: miRBase by way of RNAcentral